RNAcentral lists this long non-coding RNA (1356 nucleotides) under Triticum aestivum (bread wheat). RNAcentral's name for it is "long non-coding RNA (TAES_LNC020967)". The record is from RNAcentral. Lineage: Eukaryota; Viridiplantae; Streptophyta; Magnoliopsida; Poales; Poaceae.
UAGCACGUGUCCACGUCUACCUCAGCUUCGUCGCUGCUCCCUUCUCGACACGGCAAAGGAGGGGGAGAAGGAGGUGGCGCGUGGAAGCCUUCAACUGGAAAUUAACAAAAUGUCUAGUUAGAAGAAACGAACCUUUUUAUUAUCUUAUUCAUAAUCAGACCGUACUCUGAACAUAAAGGGUAUGCGAUCCUAGGACAUGAAGCACAACCAUCUAGCUAAUAGAAACACUCAGCAUAAGCUGAAGUAAUUCUGUAAUAGUACUUACAUAUUGCUCCAGCCGUAUAUCUGCAACCUUACAACUACAUAUAUCCAUCUCCUCAAGCACCAUAGUUGACCAUUAUUGGCGCUUCACUGCUCCUGGCAACUUGAUGCUAAUUCGUAGAAACAGUGUUUGGUCUUAUUUUGUAAUUGAAAGUUAUAUCAUCAGAAUAUGCAGCUCUGAGCCUCCCAACACCUCUCUAGAACAAUGAAGGUUUUUUUCUUGCAUUAUUCUUAGUUUGAAUGUAACAAAAUAAUCAAAGAAUGGAACAUCCAACAAUGAUUUAAACAUCGAUUUUGUGUGAGGUUUCCAUGUGAAAAUAAUUUUGUUAUCUAGACAAAGAAUAUGGCAUGUCUAAAAAUGGUCCACCCGUACUGUAAAUUUGUAAUAGCCUACUUGUUAGCCUAAUAUCUAUAUCGAGUUAUAGAUAAAGGAAGAUAUACUGACUGAUGCAAUAGAUGUACCUAGAACUUCUUCCCAUGCGGUUGAUGUAGGCAUUAGUACAGAAGUUAGGCCAGUACUGUGGUAGUGGUUCCUAUUUGAUCCGUGAAAAAUCUGCAGCCCUUACUUUCAACUCUGAGGUUGGUACUUUGAUGCAAUUCCUGAGAAAUUAAAAGAUGGAAAUACCGUAAAAAGCUGCUCAAAGAAGCUUAUGCCGUAGUUUAUACAGACAACCAUAUCGAUCUGAUGAAAAAAUAGGAUUCGAUAAAUCUAGAAUAUCUUGCUUCAUCGAUAAUCAAAUUAAAGUUCAAAUGGCACAAGAGAUUGUUGAGGCCCCAUUUGCCAAUGCAACCUGAAAGGCAGAAAAGAUGAAUUAGGAGGAAACAUAAAUCAAAUUUAACUAUCUAAAGUUUAAGAAGGUGUGAUGUGAUUACCAAACAAACUAUAAAUCAGUACCAAAAAUAAACUAAGCCCUAGUUGAUUGUCGUUUUCACGAAAUAACAUAAAAGUUGCAGUGAUCAUACCAUUGAGUAAUAAGCAAACAUAUCAAACAUGUUGACACAAGGUUUCCAUUCAUAAACCACAAAUUGAUUCUCUCCCCCGCACCUUUCUUCCUGGGCAAUCAUCGGAUGUCAUAUCCACCAUUGAAAACCACA